UGCAGUCGAACGAUAUUAGAGGUGCUUGCACCUCAAGAAAGUGGCGCACGGGUGCGUAACGCGUAUGCAACCUACCUUAAUCAGGGGGAUAGCCCGAAGAAAUUCGGAUUAAGACCGCAUAAAAACACAGGGUAGCAUUAUCCAAUGUUCAAAUAUUUAUAGGAUUAAGAUGGGCAUGCGUGUCAUUAGCUAGUUGGCGGGGUAACGGCCCACCAAGGCGACGAUGACUAGGGGAUCUGAGAGGAUGGCCCCCCACACUGGUACUGAGACACGGACCAGACUCCUACGGGAGGCAGCAGUAAGGAAUAUUGGUCAAUGGAGGGAACUCUGAACCAGCCAUGCCGCGUGCAGGAAGACAGCCCUCUGGGUCGUAAACUGCUUUUAUUCGGGAAUAAACCACAUUACGUGUAAUGUGCUGAAUGUACCGAAGGAAUAAGGAUCGGCUAACUCCGUGCCAGCAGCCGCGGUAAUACGGAGGAUCCAAGCGUUAUCCGGAUUUAUUGGGUUUAAAGGGUGCGUAGGCGGCUUAUUAAGUCAGGGGUGAAAGACGGUGGCUCAACCAUCGCAGUGCCCUUGAUACUGAUGAGCUUGAAUGGACUAGAGGUAGGCGGAAUGUGACAAGUAGCGGUGAAAUGCAUAGAUAUGUCACAGAACACCGAUUGCGAAGGCAGCUUACUAUGGUUUUAUUGACGCUGAGGCACGAAAGCGUGGGGAUCAAACAGGAUUAGAUACCCUGGUAGUCCACGCCCUAAACGAUGAAUACUCGCUGUUAGCGAUAUACAGUUAGCGGCUAAGCGAAAGCGUUAAGUAUUCCACCUGGGGAGUACGCCCGCAAGGGUGAAACUCAAAGGAAUUGACGGGGGCCCGCACAAGCGGAGGAGCAUGUGGUUUAAUUCGAUGAUACGCGAGGAACCUUACCCGGGCUUGAAAGUUAGUGAAUUAGAUAGAGAUAUUUAAGUGAGCAAUCACACGAAACUAGGUGCUGCAUGGCUGUCGUCAGCUCGUGCCGUGAGGUGUUGGGUUAAGUCCCGCAACGAGCGCAACCCCUAUGUUUAGUUGCCAUCACGUUAAGGUGGGGACUCUAAACAGACUGCCUGUGCAAACAGAGAGGAAGGAGGGGACGACGUCAAGUCAUCAUGGCCCUUACGUCCGGGGCUACACACGUGCUACAAUGGACGGUACAGAGGGCAGCAAUCUGGCAACAGCAAGCAAAUCUCAAAAAGCCGUUCACAGUUCGGAUAGAGGUCUGCAACUCGACCUCUUGAAGUUGGAUUCGCUAGUAAUCGCGUAUCAGCAAUGACGCGGUGAAUACGUUCCCGGGCCUUGUACACACCGCCCGUCAAGCCAUGGAAGUUGGGGGUACCUAAAGUAUGUAACCGUAAGGA
RNAcentral lists this ribosomal RNA (1385 nucleotides) under Pedobacter sp. CYJ 2. RNAcentral describes it as "bacterial SSU rRNA". It matches the Rfam family "Bacterial small subunit ribosomal RNA". Lineage: Bacteria; Pseudomonadati; Bacteroidota; Sphingobacteriia; Sphingobacteriales; Sphingobacteriaceae. The record is from RNAcentral.